AAGACUAUACUUUCAGGGAUCAUUUCUAUAGUAUGUGACCAAAAACUUGGGUUCAGAGCCACAAGGGACUUAUUGCUGAUCUUGUAGCUGUAGGGCUUUGCUUAGGGAGCAGAAGGUCAUCUGA
RNAcentral lists this small nucleolar RNA (124 nucleotides) under Erinaceus europaeus (western European hedgehog). Its description in RNAcentral is "Small nucleolar RNA U3". It matches the Rfam family "Small nucleolar RNA U3". From Rfam's summary of the family: Small nucleolar RNAs (snoRNAs) are involved in the processing and modification of rRNA in the nucleolus. Lineage: Eukaryota; Metazoa; Chordata; Mammalia; Eulipotyphla; Erinaceidae. The record is from Rfam by way of RNAcentral.